RNAcentral lists this ribosomal RNA (301 nucleotides) under uncultured bacterium. RNAcentral's name for it is "partial 16S ribosomal RNA". It matches the Rfam family "Bacterial small subunit ribosomal RNA", at positions 509 to 807 of the family's 1533-position model. The record is from RNAcentral.
CAGUCGCCGCGGUAAUACGGAGGGAGCUAGCGUUAUUCGGAAUUACUGGGCGUAAGGCGCACGUAGGCGGCUUUGUAAGUUAGAGGUGAAAGCCUGGAGCUCAACUCCAGAAUUGCCUUUAAGACUGCAUCGCUUGAAUCCAGGAGAAGUGAGUGGAAUUCCGAGUGUAGAGGUGAAAUCCGUAGAUAUUCGGAAGAACACCAGUGGCGAAGGCGGCUCACUGGACUGGUAUUGACGCUGAGGUGCGAAAGCGUGGGGAGCAAACAGGAUUAGAUACCCCGGUAGUCCCUGUCUCUUAUAC